AACAUCAAAUUUUCGGUAAGGAAUUUAGUAUUUCUUCCGACAUCUUAAGAGAUAUUUUUAAAUAAACUAAAAUUAUUAAGCAUGAUGAUUGUGAAUUUGCCUGUUUUUUUGUUUUAUAGUUCAGUUAAGUCGAAUUGUUCUUAUUUUCAAGCAUGCUAUGUAAUUUAUAGACACUUGAUGAUUUGUAUGUAAUAAAAAUAAUAAUAAGAAGUCAGUAUUGUUACCUAGAAAAACAAAAGAAAUAAAAAAAAGUAGAAUGAAGCAUGAAUAGUCCGAAGUAUGUAUCUAUAUUGACAUGCAUAAUGCAUCAAGUGUCUUGUUAAACUUUUUAUCUCUGAGGGUUAUCUGUUCCC
This 353-nucleotide long non-coding RNA is filed under the name Carica papaya (papaya). RNAcentral describes it as "long non-coding RNA (CPAP_LNC010960)". Lineage: Eukaryota; Viridiplantae; Streptophyta; Magnoliopsida; Brassicales; Caricaceae. The record is from RNAcentral.